AUUGAACGCUGGCGGCAGGCCUAACACAUGCAAGUCGAACGGUAACAGGAAGAAGCUUGCUUCUUUGCUGACGAGUGGCGGACGGGUGAGUAAUGUCUGGGACACUGCCUGAUGGAGGGGGAUAACUACUGGAAACGGUAGCUAAUACCGCAUAACGUCGCAAGACCAAAGAGGGGGACCUUCGGGCCUCUUGCCAUCGGAUGUGCCCAGAUGGGAUUAGCUAGUAGGUGGGGUAACGGCUCACCUAGGCGACGAUCCCUAGCUGGUCUGAGAGGAUGACCAGCCACACUGGAACUGAGACACGGUCCAGACUCCUACGGGAGGCAGCAGUGGGGAAUAUUGCACAAUGGGCGCAAGCCUGAUGCAGCCAUGCCGCGUGUAUGAAGAAGGCCUUCGGGUUGUAAAGUACUUUCAGCGGGGAGGAAGGGAGUAAAGUUAAUACCUUUGCUCAUUGACGUUACCCGCAGAAGAAGCACCGGCUAACUCCGUG
This 490-nucleotide ribosomal RNA is filed under the name uncultured bacterium. Its description in RNAcentral is "partial 16S ribosomal RNA". It matches the Rfam family "Bacterial small subunit ribosomal RNA", at positions 30 to 507 of the family's 1533-position model. The record is from RNAcentral.